ACGAGUGUAGCUCAGCUGGUAGAGCAUCGGUCUCCAAAACCGAGGGCCGGGGGUUCGAAUCCCUCCACUCGUGCCA
This 76-nucleotide transfer RNA is filed under the name Caulobacter sp. RNAcentral's name for it is "tRNA-Trp". It matches the Rfam family "tRNA". Rfam says of the family: Transfer RNA (tRNA) molecules are approximately 80 nucleotides in length. Their secondary structure includes four short double-helical elements and three loops (D, anti-codon, and T loops). The record is from RNAcentral. Lineage: Bacteria; Pseudomonadati; Pseudomonadota; Alphaproteobacteria; Caulobacterales; Caulobacteraceae. RNAcentral also lists the same sequence under 27 other names.